GACGAACGCUGGCGGCGUGCUUAACACAUGCAAGUCGAACGGAAAGGCCCUGCUUGCAGGGUACUCGCGUGGCGAACGGGUGAGUAACACGCGGGUGUUCUGCCCUGCACUUCGGGAUAAGCCUGGGGGACUGGGGCUAAUACCGGAUAGGGGACAUCCUUAGUGAGAUGGUUGGAAGGAUUUUUUGGGUUGGGAUGGGCCUGCGGCCUGUUCGCCUGGUGGUGGGGUAAUGGGCUACCAAGGAGGCGACUGGUGGCCGGCCUGGGGGGGUGGACGGCCACAUUGGGGCUGGGGUUCGGCCCAGACUCCUACGGGAGGCAGCAGGGGGGGAUAUUGCACAAUGGGCGCGAGCCUGAUUCAGCGACGCCGCGUGGGGGAUGACGGCCUUCCGGUUUGAAACUCCUUUCGCUAGGGACGGAGCUUUUUGUGACGGUACCUGGAAAAGAAGCACCGGCUAACUACGUG
Molecule: ribosomal RNA, 465 nt
Filed under: uncultured bacterium
Lineage: Bacteria
Description: partial 16S ribosomal RNA
Rfam family: Bacterial small subunit ribosomal RNA
Source: RNAcentral